CCCCCGCCCCUGCCCCCGCCCUCGCCGCCAACGUUCAACUACGCUCUUACUUUUGAUGGUGAAGUCGGCUCGAGAGGACGGCGAUCCUCAGGAUCUCCUUAUCGGACAGCUUCUGGAAGUCCAGGGUGGUGUUUAUCCAGGUGGUGGAGGCCCGAUUCAUCCAGGUCCAGCUCACCCAGGACCCCCUGGAGGGUCUGGCUCUCCACGUCUGCGGAGGACACAGCGCAGAUCCUUAAGAGAUCAAAGCAAAACUCAGAGAUCAAAGCGCCCGUCUGCCAGCAGGUCCGGGCUUCCACCCGACCCAACGGGCUCUAAUGCGGCUCCGGCAGGGACGGAGGGAGAACAAUGGGAAGGAACGCGGACACAUGGUUUGCAAUUGGGAUGGGAGGGGAACUCUUUCAUGAAAAAGGCUUUGGUCCGGUUCCGAGGCCGCAGAGACGGAACAUUUGUUAUCGAUUUGAUGCAGCGAUAUUUGCUGGAAGUGGAUCAUCUUCUGGGAGCCUGAACUGGACCGGGACCACGGUUGUGAGUCAUCCGGUCACAAUGAGACACGGGGAAACCAGCCACAGCCGACCGGUUCGGGCGGGGGGGCACCCGGACCUACCAGGACUUACACAAGUGAUCCGGGCCUUUCAGAACCAGGCGCACGUGGCGGCUCCUGUAGGGGAUGACGACCACCGUGUCCUCGCCUUAACGGAGCAAAACAGAGACCACGGUCAGGCCACAGCGGCUCACACGGACCCGGGACCAGGACCCGUCGGGGGGUUCUUUACCUCUGCCGGAGUCCUGCUGGGCUCGGUAGUGUCCCCGCACCAACCUGCAGGUGGCGCCGUCGCCGCCGCACACGCCGCAGUUGUCCUCCUUGGCGGCGCUGCCCAGCUCGUGGUCGCAGCCGACGAUCUAGAAAGCGGCCGCUUGAUGCACAUGUCCAAGGACUCGGUGUUGUGUAGCAGGCGCGUCCCGUCCAGAACUUUGGGGGCCAGCUCCAGCACCAGGCCCGAGUCCUUGGCGCUGCACUUGAGACUGCAGGGGUCUCCGGUCGUUGUAGACCGGCAGCCACUCGGGAAGCGACCCUGGAAACGCACGUCUGCGUGGGCCGAACACUGCUGGGCCCGGAAAUCCCGGCCUCCGGGGGGCAGUCCUGAGCACGGGGGUGGGGGGGGGGGCAGAGGAUGA
RNAcentral lists this long non-coding RNA (1176 nucleotides) under Takifugu rubripes (torafugu). RNAcentral describes it as "lncRNA (ENSTRUG00000028680.1)". Lineage: Eukaryota; Metazoa; Chordata; Actinopteri; Tetraodontiformes; Tetraodontidae. The record is from RNAcentral.